Molecule: long non-coding RNA, 453 nt
Organism: Pieris rapae (cabbage white)
Lineage: Eukaryota; Metazoa; Arthropoda; Insecta; Lepidoptera; Pieridae
Exons: 3
Source: RefSeq, a predicted model, not a curated record
ACGAACAAGUAUUUCUCUAAAUAAGUCUGCCCUUUGUAUAAAUAUAAUCCAGUGAAUAUAAAUUUUUGGAUUUGUGAUUAUUGUUGUGAAUUUAAAGCCAUUUUAAUUUAACGGCGUGUAAUUUUGAUUAAUAAGUGAAGAGAGUUCCUGGGAUCAAGUUCGGCUGCUAAGGAUGGAUCACGACAGACUCUUCAACAUUCUCGAAAUUGUAACAAACGUUGCGACGGUUUUAUGCAAGAUAACUGGUAUAGCUAUAGUGUAUCGUAUGGGUCUGCGUCUGAAUGUAGUUUUAGUUCGGAUUGCAUGUAGAGACUUCGACGCAACUGAGAUGGAAAAUGUGACUAUCUGGUAGACAAUGACAGAAGAAACAGGUCAGUACGCAUUUUUAUUUUCUUUAAAACCCAAGAAAGGUGGAGUUUAAAACCAGAGAAGGAAUUUUAGUUUAAAUAUUCC